RNAcentral lists this ribosomal RNA (253 nucleotides) under uncultured bacterium. Its description in RNAcentral is "partial 16S ribosomal RNA". It matches the Rfam family "Bacterial small subunit ribosomal RNA", at positions 524 to 776 of the family's 1533-position model. The record is from RNAcentral.
GACAGAGGCCUCGAGCGUUAGGCGGAAUCACUGGGCUUAAAGCGUGUGUAGGCGGGCCCGUAAGUGUCUUGUGAAAUCCCACGGCUCAAUCGUGGAACUGCUGGGCAUACUGCGGGUCUUGGGCCAACUAGGGGCAGCCGGAACAAGCGGUGGAGCGGUGAAAUGCGUAGAGAUCCGGAAGAACACCGGUGGCGAAGGCGGCCUGCUGGGCAGUGGCUGACACUGAGGCGCGACAGCGUGGGGAGCAAACAGG